This 73-nucleotide transfer RNA is filed under the name Bos taurus (domestic cattle). It matches the Rfam family "tRNA". From Rfam's summary of the family: Transfer RNA (tRNA) molecules are approximately 80 nucleotides in length. Their secondary structure includes four short double-helical elements and three loops (D, anti-codon, and T loops). The record is from Rfam by way of RNAcentral. Lineage: Eukaryota; Metazoa; Chordata; Mammalia; Artiodactyla; Bovidae.
UCCCUGGUGGUCCUGUGGCUAGGACUCUGCACUCCCAAUGCAGAGGCCUAGGGUUCGAUCCUUGGCCUGGGAA